GAGGUUGUGGCUCAGGGGUGGAGUGCUCACCUAGCACGUGUGAGGGUUGGGUUCGAUCCUCAGCACCACA
RNAcentral lists this transfer RNA (70 nucleotides) under Marmota monax (woodchuck). RNAcentral's name for it is "tRNA.Ala". The record is from RNAcentral. Lineage: Eukaryota; Metazoa; Chordata; Mammalia; Rodentia; Sciuridae.